This 253-nucleotide ribosomal RNA is filed under the name uncultured bacterium. RNAcentral describes it as "partial 16S ribosomal RNA". It matches the Rfam family "Bacterial small subunit ribosomal RNA", at positions 524 to 776 of the family's 1533-position model. The record is from RNAcentral.
UACGUAGGGUGCAAGCGUUAAUCGGAAUUACUGGGCGUAAAGCGUGCGCAGGCGGUUAUGCAAGACAGAUGUGAAAUCCCCGGGCUUAACCUGGGAACUGCAUUUGUGACUGCAUAGCUGGAGUACGGUAGAGGGGGAUGGAAUUCCGCGUGUAGCAGUGAAAUGCGUAGAUAUGCGGAGGAACACCGAUGGCGAAGGCAGUCCCCUGGACCUGUACUGACGCUCAUGUACGAAAGCGUGGGGAGCAAACAGG